RNAcentral lists this ribosomal RNA (3173 nucleotides) under Saccharomyces cerevisiae (brewer's yeast). It matches the Rfam family "Bacterial large subunit ribosomal RNA". The record is from RNAcentral. Lineage: Eukaryota; Fungi; Ascomycota; Saccharomycetes; Saccharomycetales; Saccharomycetaceae.
AUCAUGGAGUAUAAUAAUUAAAUUUAAUAAAUUUAAUAUAACUAUUAAUAGAAUUAGGUUACUAAUAAAUUAAUAACAAUUAAUUUUAAAACCUAAAGGUAAACCUUUAUAUUAAUAAUGUUUUUUUUUUAUUAUUUUUUUAUAAUAAGAAUAAUUAUUAAUAAUAAUAAACUAAGUGAACUGAAACAUCUAAGUAACUUAAGGAUAAGAAAUCAACAGAGAUAUUAUGAGUAUUGGUGAGAGAAAAUAAUAAAGGUCUAAUAAGUAUUAUGUGAAAAAAAUGUAAGAAAAUAGGAUAACAAAUUCUAAGACUAAAUACUAUUAAUAAGUAUAGUAAGUACCGUAAGGGAAAGUAUGAAAAUGAUUAUUUUAUAAGCAAUCAUGAAUAUAUUAUAUUAUAUUAAUGAUGUACCUUUUGUAUAAUGGGUCAGCAAGUAAUUAAUAUUAGUAAAACAAUAAGUUAUAAAUAAAUAGAAUAAUAUAUAUAUAUAUAAAAAUAUAUUAAAAUAUUUAAUUAAUAUUAAUUGACCCGAAAGCAAACGAUCUAACUAUGAUAAGAUGGAUAAACGAUCGAACAGGUUGAUGUUGCAAUAUCAUCUGAUUAAUUGUGGUUAGUAGUGAAAGACAAAUCUGGUUUGCAGAUAGCUGGUUUUCUAUGAAAUAUAUGUAAGUAUAGCCUUUAUAAAUAAUAAUUAUUAUAUAAUAUUAUAUAAAUAUUAUAUAAAGAAUGGUACAGCAAUUAAUAUAUAUUAGGGAACUAUUAAAGUUUUAUUAAUAAUAUUAAAUCUCGAAAUAUUUAAUUAUAUAUAAUAAAGAGUCAGAUUAUGUGCGAUAAGGUAAAUAAUCUAAAGGGAAACAGCCCAGAUUAAGAUAUAAAGUUCCUAAUAAAUAAUAAGUGAAAUAAAUAUUAAAAUAUUAUAAUAUAAUCAGUUAAUGGGUUUGACAAUAACCACUUUUUAAUGAACAUGUAACAAUGCACUGAUUUAUAAUAAAUAAAAAAUAAUAUUUAAAAUCAAAUAUAUAUAUAUAUAUAUAUUUGUUAAUAGAUAAUAUACGGAUCUUAAUAAUAAGAAUUAUUUAAUUCCUAAUAUGGAAUAUUAUAUUUUUAUAAUAAUAAUAAAAAUAUAAAUACUGAAUAUCUAAAUAUUAUUAUUACUUUUUUUUUAAUAAUAAUAAUAUGGUAAUAGAACAUUUAAUGAUAAUAUAUAUUAGUUAUUAAUUAAUAUAUGUAUUAAUUAAAUAGAGAAUGCUGACAUGAGUAACGAAAAAAAGGUAUAAACCUUUUCACCUAAAACAUAAGGUUUAACUAUAAAAGUACGGCCCCUAAUUAAAUUAAUAAGAAUAUAAAUAUAUUUAAGAUGGGAUAAUCUAUAUUAAUAAAAAUUUAUCUUAAAAUAUAUAUAUUAUUAAUAAUUAUAUUAAUAAUAUAUAUAAUUAUAUUAUAUAUUUUUUUUUUUAUAUAAUAUAAACUAAUAAAGAUCAGGAAAUAAUUAAUGUAUACCGUAAUGUAGACCGACUCAGGUAUGUAAGUAGAGAAUAUGAAGGUGAAUUAGAUAAUUAAAGGGAAGGAACUCGGCAAAGAUAGCUCAUAAGUUAGUCAAUAAAGAGUAAUAAGAACAAAGUUGUACAACUGUUUACUAAAAACACCGCACUUUGCAGAAACGAUAAGUUUAAGUAUAAGGUGUGAACUCUGCUCCAUGCUUAAUAUAUAAAUAAAAUUAUUUAACGAUAAUUUUAUUAAAUUUAGGUAAAUAGCAGCCUUAUUAUGAGGGUUAUAAUGUAGCGAAAUUCCUUGGCCUAUAAUUGAGGUCCCGCAUGAAUGACGUAAUGAUACAACAACUGUCUCCCCUUUAAGCUAAGUGAAAUUGAAAUCGUAGUGAAGAUGCUAUGUACCUUCAGCAAGACGGAAAGACCCUAUGCAGCUUUACUGUAAUUAGAUAGAUCGAAUUAUUGUUUAUUAUAUUCAGCAUAUUAAGUAAUCCUAUUAUUAGGUAAUCGUUUAGAUAUUAAUGAGAUACUUAUUAUAAUAUAAUGAUAAUUCUAAUCUUAUAAAUAAUUAUUAUUAUUAUUAUUAAUAAUAAUAAUAUGCUUUCAAGCAUAGUGAUAAAACAUAUUUAUAUGAUAAUCACUUUACUUAAUAGAUAUAAUUCUUAAGUAAUAUAUAAUAUAUAUUUUAUAUAUAUUAUAUAUAAUAUAAGAGACAAUCUCUAAUUGGUAGUUUUGAUGGGGCGUCAUUAUCAGCAAAAGUAUCUGAAUAAGUCCAUAAAUAAAUAUAUAAAAUUAUUGAAUAAAAAAAAUAAUAUAUAUUAUAUAUAUUAAUUAUAAAUUGAAAUAUGUUUAUAUAAAUUUAUAUUUAUUGAAUAUAUUUUAGUAAUAGAUAAAAAUAUGUACAGUAAAAUUGUAAGGAAAACAAUAAUAACUUUCUCCUCUCUCGGUGGGGGUUCACACCUAUUUUUAAUAGGUGUUCACCCCUCUUCGGGGUUCCGGUUCCCUUUCGGGUCCCGGAACUUAAAUAAAAAUGGAAAGAAUUAAAUUAAUAUAAUGGUAUAACUGUGCGAUAAUUGUAACACAAACGAGUGAAACAAGUACGUAAGUAUGGCAUAAUGAACAAAUAACACUGAUUGUAAAGGUUAUUGAUAACGAAUAAAAGUUACGCUAGGGAUAACAGGGUAAUAUAACGAAAGAGUAGAUAUUGUAAGUUAUGUUUGCCACCUCGAUGUCGACUCAACAUUUCCUCUUGGUUGUAAAAGCUAAGAAGGGUUUGACUGUUCGUCAAUUAAAAUGUUACGUGAGUUGGGUUAAAUACGAUGUGAAUCAGUAUGGUUCCUAUCUGCUGAAGGAAAUAUUAUCAAAUUAAAUCUCAUUAUUAGUACGCAAGGACCAUAAUGAAUCAACCCAUGGUGUAUCUAUUGAUAAUAAUAUAAUAUAUUUAAUAAAAAUAAUACUUUAUUAAUAUAUUAUCUAUAUUAGUUUAUAUUUUAAUUAUAUAUUAUCAUAGUAGAUAAGCUAAGUUGAUAAUAAAUAAAUAUUGAAUACAUAUUAAAUAUGAAGUUGUUUUAAUAAGAUAAUUAAUCUGAUAAUUUUAUACUAAAAUUAAUAAUUAUAGGUUUUAUAUAUUAUUUAUAAAUAAAUAUAUUAUAAUAAUAAUAAUUAUUAUUAUUAAUAAAAAAUAU